This 284-nucleotide ribosomal RNA is filed under the name Ixodes ricinus (castor bean tick). Its description in RNAcentral is "partial small subunit ribosomal RNA". The record is from RNAcentral. Lineage: Eukaryota; Metazoa; Arthropoda; Arachnida; Ixodida; Ixodidae.
AAAAUAAAAUUUGAUUUUAAAAAAAUUUAAUUUUUAAACUAGGAUUAGAUACCCUAUUAUUUUAAGCUUAAUGUUGGUAGUAAGUAAAAUUUAUGAAAUCAUAAAAUUUUGGCGGUAUUUUAAGCUUGUUAGAGGAAUUUGCUCUAUAAUGGAUAUAACGCCUAUAUCUUACUUAAUUUUGUAAUUAAAGUCAGUUUGUAUACCACUAUAUUUAAUUAUAUUGAAUAAUUAUAUUUAAGAUUUUUAUAUAAAUAUAUAUUAAGUCAAGGUGCAACAAAUAAUUA